GUGCUUGCUUCAGCUACACAUAGACUAAAAUUGGAACAAUACAGAGAAAAUUAGUAUGGCCCCUGUGCAAGGAUGACACGCAAAUUCAUGAAGAAUUCCAUAUUUUU
Molecule: small nuclear RNA, 107 nt
Filed under: Vombatus ursinus (common wombat)
Lineage: Eukaryota; Metazoa; Chordata; Mammalia; Diprotodontia; Vombatidae
Source: RNAcentral